UAGGGAAUAUUGCAAAAUGGGCGAAAGCCCGAUGCAGCAACGCCGCGUGGGCGAUGAAGGCCUUCGGGUCGUAAAGCCCUUUUUGAGGGGAUGAGGAAGGACAGUACCCUCAGAAUAAGCCUCGGCUAACUACGUGCCAGCAGCCGCGGUAAAACGUAGGAGGCGAGCGUUAUCCGGAUUUACUGGGCGUAAAGCGCGUGCAGGCGGAUUGGAGAGUUGGAUGUGAAAGCUCCCGGCUUAACUGGGAGAGGUCGUUCAAUACUUCCAGUCUUGAGUGCAGUAGAGGGAAGUGGAAUUCUGGGUGUAGUGGUGAAAUGCGUAGAUAUCCGGAGGAACACCAGUGGCGAAAGCGGCUUCCUGGACUGUAACUGACGCUCAGACGCGAAAGCUAGGGUAGCAAACG
Molecule: ribosomal RNA, 403 nt
Filed under: uncultured bacterium
Lineage: Bacteria
Description: bacterial SSU rRNA
Rfam family: Bacterial small subunit ribosomal RNA
Source: RNAcentral